RNAcentral lists this long non-coding RNA (1469 nucleotides) under Carassius auratus (goldfish). RNAcentral describes it as "lncRNA (ENSCARG00000038333.1)". Lineage: Eukaryota; Metazoa; Chordata; Actinopteri; Cypriniformes; Cyprinidae. The record is from RNAcentral.
GGGGGAGCAGUUUAUAAAAUGAACCGUUAAUCUGAUCGACGUGACCGGAACACGACAUCCGUUACCGGCCCGUCCGAACAACCUCAAGAGCCAAUCAGCAGCCCAUGACGCCCUCACAUAUACGCCUUAAAUCAGCUAACAGUAUUGUUAGGACUAAAGCACACUAGUCCAAGCACACUCGAUGAACACUACAGAACUGUGUUACUCGCCCACAUGCAGCUUAAUGUUCUCUUCCAGAUCAGAUCCAUCCACUCCUGUCAACAAGUGAGAGCGCGCGCUUCCCGCUCGAUCGCGCGCGUCGCGUCUGACGCGUGUGCGUGAUGGAUGCGGUGCGCGCGUGAGGGGGGCGGGAGCGCGUGGAACGCUCGAGCUCCUCUCGUUCGUUUUCUGACGCGAGAAAGACAAAAGAAAAAAAGAGAAAAAAGCCAGCAGAAGAGAAACGAGCUCGUGCUCGCGGAAUACCAAGGCCCGCUCGGUUCGGUGAGGUGGCUGUGAGCCGCGGGUCGGUGCAGGCGGAGCGGCGGAGCGCGGGACUCGAGCCCGGGGAGAUCGGACGGGCCUGUCCGAACAUCUUCCUGUUUCCAGAGAAAGAAAGACACUAUCAUAUUGAGAGGAUUAAAAGAGCAACUGGAAGGCAUGUCACGGACCAUGGAAAACAUGAUGCUAGGACAAGCUACACUGAAAAAUACCUUACUGUAAUGGGCAAGGACUGGAUGAUCAAAGAAAACAACACAUUUGCUGGACUGAAUAACUAACAUGGGAAAUGACAAAUGUUUGGAUACAGCUGGAAAAUAUUUGUUGGUGAAGAUCUUAAUGAAACAUGGCUUGAGCAUGUGCCGAAAAUCCCUAUUACACAGGAAAUAUGAUAAAAAGUCAUGAUUUUGAAGGAUUGAUCUUUCUCAAGCCAUUUCAGUGUCAGUGAAUACAUGUGCCAACUAGAGAAAGUUUUUUUAUUUGUUUUUUUUUUCGUCUUUUGCAAACCUGUUACUGAACUAUUAUAAUUCUACUGCAUGGCUGCUAUCCACAUCCGUUCGCACAUUUACCAAAUGGCAAGAUGUUUCACACUACAGUAUCAAGAUAUUGACAUUCUCUUAAUGAAACUUACUUGAGUUGCUUUUUUGGUGGAGUAUUUUUUACCUCUUGUCUAAUAGACAUUUUGUGAUAACACUAAACCUUCAAUCAUUAUCUUUUUCCAGACAUCUUUUGAUCUAGUGCCAAACCACGUAGUAGCAUUUGUGAUACCAUUUCUGUGAAUGAAUGUGCAGAUGCUGCAUUUCCCAUCUUCACACUGUUUUUACUUUUUGACUUGAGCAGCAAAUUGGAUCCCCUUGCUUUCUAAAUCUCAGUUAUGACAUUGUUUGGGGCCUUCUACAUUUAUGUUACAGAUGUGUUUGUAGAUUUCUAAUACUAAGCAUUCCAGUUUGCCAUUUGGGUCCUCUUGAAAAGAAAGAUUGCUAAAAACAGCUUUU